AGAAAUUUUUACAUGGCACGGUAAAGAUAUAAAAAUAUAAAUCACAUCUCUUCUGCCAAUUCACAACACUUCUUCCUUUUUAUAUUUCUCAAACAAUCUUACAGUACCCAUACUUAUAUAAUAAAUAUGCAGAAAACUCCAUUCAUCUUAUCUUCACUAAACCCAUCUAUAUUUCAACAAUCAAUCCCAUCAUAACAGCUUACAACCAAUACAUUUUUAC
Molecule: long non-coding RNA, 220 nt
Filed under: Vigna radiata
Lineage: Eukaryota; Viridiplantae; Streptophyta; Magnoliopsida; Fabales; Fabaceae
Description: long non-coding RNA (VRAD_LNC009721)
Source: RNAcentral